AGGGAAUAUUAGUAAUGGGCGAAAGCCUGAACUAGCAACGCCGCGUGUGCGAAGAAGGCCUUCGGGUUGUAAAGCACUUUUUGAGAGGAUGAGGAAGGACGGUACUCUCAGAAUAAGUCUCGGCUAACUACGUGCCAGCAGCCGCGGUAACACGUAGGAGGUGAACGUUAUCCGGAUUUACUGGGCGUAAAGCGCGUGUAGGUGGUUUGGUAAGUAGGGCGUGAAAGCUCCUGGCUCAACUGGGAGAGGCCGUUCUAAACUGCCGAACUAGAG
RNAcentral lists this ribosomal RNA (273 nucleotides) under uncultured bacterium. RNAcentral's name for it is "partial 16S ribosomal RNA". It matches the Rfam family "Bacterial small subunit ribosomal RNA", at positions 356 to 646 of the family's 1533-position model. The record is from RNAcentral.